This 469-nucleotide ribosomal RNA is filed under the name uncultured bacterium. Its description in RNAcentral is "partial 16S ribosomal RNA". It matches the Rfam family "Bacterial small subunit ribosomal RNA", at positions 28 to 507 of the family's 1533-position model. The record is from RNAcentral.
GAUGAACGCUGGCGGCGUGCUUAACACAUGCAAGUCGAACGGUGAACACGGAGCUUGCUCUGUGGGAUCAGUGGCGGACGGGUGAGUAACACGUGAGCAACCUGCCCCUGACUCUGGGAUAAGCGCUGGAAACGGCGUCUAAUACUGGAUAUGUGACGUGACCGCAUGGUCUGCGUUUGGAAAGAUUUUUCGGUUGGGGAUGGGCUCGCGGCCUAUCAGCUUGUUGGUGAGGUAAUGGCUCACCAAGGCGUCGACGGGUAGCCGGCCUGAGAGGGUGACCGGCCACACUGGGACUGAGACACGGCCCAGACUCCUACGGGAGGCAGCAGUGGGGAAUAUUGCACAAUGGGCGCAAGCCUGAUGCAGCAACGCCGCGUGAGGGAUGACGGCCUUCGGGUUGUAAACCUCUUUUAGCAGGGAAGAAGCGAAAGUGACGGUACCUGCAGAAAAAGCGCCGGCUAACUACGUG